Long non-coding RNA from Cebus imitator (Panamanian white-faced capuchin), 497 nucleotides. RefSeq lists it as uncharacterized. The record is from RefSeq and is a predicted model, not a curated record. Lineage: Eukaryota; Metazoa; Chordata; Mammalia; Primates; Cebidae. The transcript is spliced from 2 exons.
CAUCAUGAGACCAGAGGAGACCGAGAGAAGGGCUGGAUUUGGCUUUUCUAAGCAACAUGUGUUCCCUUGCAGGGCUGGAGGGUUGUGGAGACAGACAGAGAUGGAAGUCAGGACAGGGGAGCCCAGCGGGCCCAGAAAGGUCCACAAGCAGAGAGGAGUGUGAGGCGCAUGGCUCCAGUGUCAGACUCCCCAACAUGCUGCGUGCUCAGCAGGAUCUGCCCAUGACACCCAGGGAACCCUCGCCCUCCCCACCUUGGGAGAGGUCACUGGACAGAGCUGCACGGGGUGCUGGUGUCAUCCAGGACCCCACACACUUUCCUGAGUGUGAUCCUGCUUCCCUCCUCUGGGCAGCUGCAUCCUCUUCUCCUGCAGGGUUUUCUGGAAUCUCGGCUCUGGGUUUGUCUCCCUUCUCCCCUUUCUUUGCCCAACCCCCUUUUUCUGAAAAAGUGAGGCAAUUGUUUAUGGGUUAGUUUGUUGAAAAUAAGUGGCGGCCUCCA